GAAAAACAUUAGUUAGGCCACAAAUUACUGUCACUAGACCAUAAAACAAAUUAUUACUAGAAAACAAAAAAAUUCUACUUAUCUAGACAAACAAGUCAACAUGUUGAUGGUCAUAUUCUGAAGACUAUAUAAAUUACUCUAGAAUAUUGUAGAAAAUAGAGAAGGCAGCAAUUGUUUUAGAGUUUGUUAGCUUGUAGUUGAUGUGGCUUUUAGUCAUUGGAUGAACUGUUGUAUAUAAACAAUAUCGAAAGUAAAGAAUGUGAUCUGCUCAUUCCUACAGUUUUUUUCUUUACAAGUUUCUUCAUAUGCUUGUAGUUGAUGUGGCUUUUAGUCAUUGGAUGAACUGUUGUAUAUAAACAAUAUCGAAAGUAAAGAAUGUGAUCUGCUCAUUCCUACAGUUUUUUUCUUUACAAGUUUCUUCAUAU
Molecule: unclassified non-coding RNA, 425 nt
Filed under: Hevea brasiliensis (rubber tree)
Lineage: Eukaryota; Viridiplantae; Streptophyta; Magnoliopsida; Malpighiales; Euphorbiaceae
Source: RNAcentral